This 497-nucleotide ribosomal RNA is filed under the name uncultured bacterium. RNAcentral describes it as "partial 16S ribosomal RNA". It matches the Rfam family "Bacterial small subunit ribosomal RNA", at positions 28 to 507 of the family's 1533-position model. The record is from RNAcentral.
GAUGAACGCUGGCGGCGUGCCUAAUACAUGCAAGUCGAGCGAACGGACGAGAAGCUUGCUUCUCUGAUGUUAGCGGCGGACGGGUGAGUAACACGUGGAUAACCUACCUAUAAGACUGGGAUAACUUCGGAAAACCGGAGCUAAUACCGGAUAAUAUUUUGAACCGCAUGGUUCAAAAGUGAAAGACGGUCUUGCUGUCACUUAUAGAUGGAUCCGCGCUGCAUUAGCUAGUUGAUAAGGUAACGGCUUACCAAGGCAACGAUGCAUAGCCGACCUGAGAGGGUGAUCGGCCACACUGGAACUGAGACACGGUCCAGACUCCUACGGGAGGCAGCAGUAGGGAAUCUUCCGCAAUGGGCGAAAGCCUGACGGAGCAACGCCGCGUGAGUGAUGAAGGUCUUCGGAUCGUAAAACUCUGUUAUUAGGGAAGAACAUAUGUGUAAGUAACUGUGCACAUCUUGACGGUACCUAAUCAGAAAGCCACGGCUAACUACGUG